Molecule: signal recognition particle RNA, 95 nt
Filed under: bacterium
Lineage: Bacteria
Description: signal recognition particle sRNA small type
Rfam family: Bacterial small signal recognition particle RNA
About the family: The signal recognition particle (SRP) is a universally conserved ribonucleoprotein involved in the co-translational targeting of proteins to membranes. Archaeal SRP consists of a 7S RNA and homologues of the eukaryotic SRP19 and SRP54 proteins.
Source: RNAcentral
AAUAAUAGCUAUUACAACAUAAGCAUCGAACCGUGUCAGGCUAGAAAUAGAGCAGCACUAAGAUAACUUUUGUGUGUAAUAGCUUUUUUUAUUUA